Molecule: long non-coding RNA, 964 nt
Filed under: Apteryx owenii (little spotted kiwi)
Lineage: Eukaryota; Metazoa; Chordata; Aves; Apterygiformes; Apterygidae
Description: lncRNA (ENSAOWG00000008197.1)
Source: RNAcentral
GCUGCCUCCCGCAGAAAUGGUGAGCAUCCGGAUCCAGAAGCGGAUCUCACUUGCGAUUUAGGACCAAAAGCAUUUACAUGAGUCCUGCUGCCUGCCGCCUUUGCCGUUGGGCGCGUUUGGCUUGCGGCUCACGGCCGGGCCGCCGCCGUUGCCACUCCCCCAGCUCCAGCCGUCGGAGCUCCCCGUGGCCACGUGAAACAUUCAACUUCAUCAAGGUGCUGCUCACCUGAAGCAGCCUGUGAGCAGCAGACUAAGGGAACCACAACACCAAAACCUGGCACGGAGGCUCCUCCUGCCUGCAGAGCACCCGCGCGCUAGCCRGAGAAAAGGGAGAAAACGAAGCAAAAAUCCCAGCGGCUGGAAUGCCCCACCAACUGUUCARAGGGUCCCAACAGACACCUGGGUUGGGACCAUUUCUACUGGCUGGUCCACUGAGAAGUACUGAGCACUGGACAAGGGCAGACAGCUAAGGACAGGUAUCCGCAGAAGGUGCACCAGGAAGGAGGCAGCUUCGUGCUCAGAUGUGCCAUGGGCUUCAGCUCUUCACUUAGAUGUCUACAUUCUGCUGAGAUACCUUUGAAGGACCUUUGCUGUUCUGUAGGGAGAAGGCUUGCGGCGACGUCGGCUCCCAGCCAAGCCACGUGGUCUGAGGUUGCACAAGGUGAGCGCGGUGGGAUGGCCCAGUACCGACGGCUCCGGAGGUACCUGCACGAGUGACCGGGGCCACGUCAUGCUUCCUCCGUACCCGCAGCUCUGAACAAGCAGCAGUUAUUGCAACACAUCUAUUUGGGGAAAUUUCCAAGUGCAAAAAGGCACUGAGACGGCGGGAGUGCCGUCUGGGGCAGCGCAAAAUGCAGCCUCCCUGCCGCCACAGGGCUCCCGAGAGAAACCUGCUCUGCAUCGCGUUGCAGAGGACGGGGCCCUACGGGCCACACCACAUGCAAAUAUGGGAUUUAUUGCUCUU